UACUCCUACGGGAGGCAGCAGUGAGGAAUAUUGGUCAAUGGGCGAGAGCCUGAACCAGCCAAGUAGCGUGCAGGAUGACGGCCCUAUGGGUUGUAAACUGCUUUUAUGCGGGGAUAAAGUGAGGGACGUGUCCUUCAUUGCAGGUACCGCAUGAAUAAGGACCGGCUAAUUCCGUGCCAGCAGCCGCGGUAAUACGGAAGGUCCGGGCGUUAUCCGGAUUUAUUGGGUUUAAAGGGAGCGUAGGCCGUGGAUUAAGCGUGUUGUGAAAUGCAGGUGCUCAACGUCUGCACUGCAGCGCGAACUGGUCCACUUGAGUGUGCGCAACGCAGGCGGAAUUCGUCGUGUAGCGGUGAAAUGCUUAGAUAUGACGAAGAACUCCGAUUGCGAAGGCAGCUUGCGGGAGCACGACUGACGCUGAAGCUCGAAAGUGCGGGUAUCGAACAGGAUUAGAUACCCUGGUAGUCCGCACGGUAAACGAUGGAUGCCCGUUGUCAGGCUGUUUCAGCCUGGUGACCAAGCGAAAGCAUUAAGCAUCCCACCUGGGGAGUACGCCGGCAACGGUGAAACUCAAAGGAAUUGACGGA
Molecule: ribosomal RNA, 584 nt
Filed under: uncultured bacterium
Lineage: Bacteria
Description: bacterial SSU rRNA
Rfam family: Bacterial small subunit ribosomal RNA
Source: RNAcentral